AUUGAACGCUGGCGGCAGGCCUAACACAUGCAAGUCGAGCGGAUGAAGGGUGCUUGCUCCUGGAUUCAGCGGCGGACGGGUGAGUAAUGCCUAGGAAUCUGCCUGGUAGUGGGGUAUAACGUCCGGAAACGGGCGCUAAUACCGCAUACGUCCUGCGGGAGAAAGUGGGGGAUCUUCGGACCUCACGCUAUCAGAUGAGCCUAGGUCGGAUUAGCUAGUUGGUGGGGUAAAGGCCUACCAAGGCGACGAUCCGUAACUGGACUGAGAGGAUGAUCAGUCACACUGGAACGGAGACAGGGUCCAGACGACUACGGGAGGCAGCAGUGGGGAAUAUUGGACAAUGGGCGAGAGCCUGGUCCAGCCAGGCCGCGUGUGUGAAGAAGGUCUUCGGAUUGUAAAGCACUUUAAGUUGGGAGGAAGGGCAGUAAGUUAAUACCUUGCUGUUUUGACGUUACCAACAGAAUAAGCACCGGCUAACUUCGUG
RNAcentral lists this ribosomal RNA (484 nucleotides) under uncultured bacterium. Its description in RNAcentral is "partial 16S ribosomal RNA". It matches the Rfam family "Bacterial small subunit ribosomal RNA", at positions 30 to 507 of the family's 1533-position model. The record is from RNAcentral.